AUGUGGUGUUCAGGCAUGCACCUUGGGGCGGCUCGUCUACUCGAAGUCCAACUCCGAUUAUGGCAUUGGAUGUGUCCCGAAGCGGGUGUAAGGCCCGUACGAGUAGACUUGGCGCAAUAGAGCUGUCCCUUGAUGUGUGUGUCUUGGAGUCGGAUUGCUUGAGAAUGCAGUCCAAAGCGGGUGGUAAACUCCAUCCAAGGCUAAAUACUGGCACGAGUCCGAUAGUAAACAAGUACCGUGAGGGAAAGUUGAAAAGUACUCUGAAGAGAGAGUAAAUAGUACGUGAAGCCGCUUGUAGAGAAGCUGGUGGAGUCAAGCUCCAUGCCUGCACGAUUAACAACGAGAGUAUGAUGUGUUCGCGUCUAAUGGCUGGUGGAUCUGGAAACGUUCCGAGAGAUUCGCGUCUCUUGUUGAGCCGACCGGUGAGUCGCUUAUACUGGCCAUGAAGACUUCUCUCUUGUGUCCUAUCGUCAGGCAGCCACCAUGAUUGAUACUCCGUCUGGUGUGCGGUCGCUACACUGUCUCAUGUGGGCCCCAGGCUUGCUGAGUUCAGGAUGGCGGGUGGUGUCCCGGCGCGCUUGCCGUGCCCGGUGACACACGUACUGGUUUAAUCCUGCCGGUGACCGUGCUCGUGCUCUACCAUGCGGUUGAGUAUCAUACUAGUGCCCUCGUGUCCGAUUGCAAUGGUAGCGUUGGGCGAGAAUCAUGGUGUUGGAGUAGAUUUUCCACCCGACCCGUCUUGAAACACGGACCAAGGAGUUUAACACGUGCGCAAGUCAAUGGGCUACUUUGCAAGUACGAAACCCAGAGGCGCAAUGAAAGUGAAAGGUCAUCUAUGUUGGCCUUAGGUGUGAUCCCGGCUGUCCCACACAAAGGCUGCUCGGGCGCAACACCGGCCCGUCUCAAGAUGUAGUCACUGGGGCCACGGCCCUGGUGCAUCAUCGAGGCGGCGCA
This 954-nucleotide ribosomal RNA is filed under the name Trinigyrus peregrinus. RNAcentral describes it as "eukaryotic LSU rRNA". It matches the Rfam family "Eukaryotic large subunit ribosomal RNA", at positions 143 to 796 of the family's 3401-position model. Lineage: Eukaryota; Metazoa; Platyhelminthes; Monogenea; Dactylogyridea; Ancylodiscoididae. The record is from RNAcentral.